AGGCGAACAUUUGAAACAUGCUUGGCUAGAAGCGCCAACAAAAUUAAUGCUGAGCAUGAUAGAGGAAAUUCGUCCCAAAGUUGGGAAAUCUGCGACACUCCGCAAUAAAACGAAGAUGUGGAAAGCAAUUGAGGACAGCAUGAGAGAGCAAGGCUACAAUUUCACAGCAGUACAAAUAGAAAAUAAAUUUCGAAGCCUUGAACCAAAAAAGUAAUUUAAAAUAACGCGCAGACUGGGAGAAGUCGACAAAGUUGUCCUUAUCAGAGCGAACUGGAUGAAAUAUUGGGGGAAAAGGCCUCAUUGAAUCCGGUAUUCCUCUGGGAAAGUAGCCAGGUGGAUACAAGCGGGGACACCAGCAAUUUGAAUGAGUCCAAUUCCGAACUCACAUCGGAAAAUGACCAAGCAGAUGAUGUGCCGAGUUAUUCAAGGAAGCGGAAGAGACCGAAUUCCAAUGACCAGCUGCAAAAAACCUUGAGUGGAAUGGCAGAAGAAAGAAA
Molecule: long non-coding RNA, 497 nt
Organism: Rhagoletis pomonella (apple maggot)
Lineage: Eukaryota; Metazoa; Arthropoda; Insecta; Diptera; Tephritidae
Exons: 3
Source: RefSeq, a predicted model, not a curated record